This 460-nucleotide ribosomal RNA is filed under the name uncultured Actinomycetes bacterium. RNAcentral describes it as "bacterial SSU rRNA". It matches the Rfam family "Bacterial small subunit ribosomal RNA", at positions 960 to 1423 of the family's 1533-position model. The record is from RNAcentral. Lineage: Bacteria; Bacillati; Actinomycetota; Actinomycetes.
CGCGAAGAACCUUACCAAGGCUUGACAUAUACAGGAAUAUGGCAGAGAUGUCAUAGCCGCAAGGUCUGUAUACAGGAGGUGCAUGGUUGUCGUCAGCUCGUGUCGUGAGAUGUUGGGUUAAGUCCCGCAACGAGCGCAACCCUCGUUCUGUGUUGCCAGCAUUUAGUUGGGGACUCACAGGAGACUGCCGGGCUUAACUCGGAGGAAGGUGGGGAUGACGUCAAAUCAUCAUGCCCCUUAUGUCUUGGGCUGCACGCAUGCUACAAUGGCUGGUACAAACGGCUGCGAUACCGCAAGGUGGAGCGAAUCCGAUAAAGCCAGUCUCAGUUCGGAUUGGGGUCUGCAACUCGACCCCAUGAAGUCGGAGUUGCUAGUAAUCGUAGAUCAGCAACGCUACGGUGAAUACGUUCCCGGGGCUUGUACACACCGCCCGUCACAUCACGAAAGUCGGUAACACCCA